UGGCGGACGGGUGAGUAAUGUCUGGGAAACUGUCCGAUGGAGGGGGAUAACUACUGGAAACGGUAGCUAAUACCGCAUAACGUCGCAAGACCAAAGAGGGGGACCUUCGGGCCUCUUGCCAUCGGAUGUGCCCAGAUGGGAUUAGCUAGUAGGUGGGGUAACGGCUCACCUAGGCGACGAUCCCUAGCUGGUCUGAGAGGAUGACCAGCCACACUGGAACUGAGACACGGUCCAG
RNAcentral lists this ribosomal RNA (235 nucleotides) under uncultured bacterium. RNAcentral describes it as "partial 16S ribosomal RNA". It matches the Rfam family "Bacterial small subunit ribosomal RNA", at positions 96 to 334 of the family's 1533-position model. The record is from RNAcentral.